AAAAUAGAUACCCCCGGGUAGUCCAUGCCGUAAAACGUUGGGCACUGGGUGUGGGGGACAUUCCACGUUUUUCCGCGCCGUAGCUAACGCAUUAAGUGCCCCGCCUGGGGAGUACGGCCGCAAGGCUAAAACUCAAAGGAAUUGACGGGGGCCCGCACAAGCGGCGGAGCAUGCUGAUUAAUUCGAUGCAACGCGAAGAACCUUACCAAGGCUUGACAUGCACCGGACGGCUGCAGAGAUGUGGCUUUCUUUGGACUGGUGCACAGGUGGUGCAUGGUUGUCGUCAGCUCGUGUCGUGAGAUGUUGGGUUAAGUCCCGCAACGAGCGCAACCCUCGUUCUAUGUUGCCAGCACGUGAUGGUGGGGACUCAUAGGAGACUGCCGGGGUCAACUCGGAGGAAGGUGGGGACGACGUCAAAUCAUCAUGCCCCUUAUGUCUUGGGCUUCAAGCAUGCUACAAUGGUCGGUACAAUGGGUUGCGAAACUGUGAGGUGGACGCGAAAUCCCGAAAAAGCCGGCCUCGAGUUCGGAUUGGGGUCUGACC
This 543-nucleotide ribosomal RNA is filed under the name uncultured bacterium. RNAcentral describes it as "bacterial SSU rRNA". It matches the Rfam family "Bacterial small subunit ribosomal RNA", at positions 776 to 1310 of the family's 1533-position model. The record is from RNAcentral.